Molecule: ribosomal RNA, 488 nt
Filed under: uncultured Glomeromycotina
Lineage: Eukaryota; Fungi; Glomeromycota
Description: SSU rRNA
Rfam family: Eukaryotic small subunit ribosomal RNA
Source: RNAcentral
AGCAGCCGCGGUAAUUCCAGCUCCAAUAGCGUAUAUUAAAGUUGUUGCAGUUAAAAAGCUCGUAGUUGAAUUUCGGGAUCAAUACGUCGGUCGUGCUUCGGUACGUACUGGUGUCAUUGAUUUCUCCCUUCUGACGAACCAUGAUGUCAUUAACUUGGUGUCUUGGGAAAUCAGGACUGUUACUUUGAAAAAAUUAGAGUGUUUAAAGCAGGCUCACGCUUGAAUACAUUAGCAUGGAAUAAUGAAAUAGGACGUUCGAUCCUAUUUUGUUGGUUUUAGGAUCAACGUAAUGAUUAAUAGGGAUAGUUGGGGGCAUUAGUAUUCAAUUGUCAGAGGUGAAAUUCUUGGAUUUAUUGAAGACUAACUACUGCGAAAGCAUUUGCCAAGGAUGUUUUCAUUAAUCAAGAACGAAAGUUAGGGGAUCGAAGACGAUCAGAUACCGUCGCAGUCUUAACCAUAAACUAUGCCGACUAGGGAUUGGAUGAUGU